AGUCGAACGAAGUAGCAAUACUUAGUGGCAGACGGGUGAGUAACAUGUGGGUAUCUGCCCUUUGGCCUGGAAUAACACGAGGAAACUUGUGCUAAUACCGGAUAAGUCUUUACGGAGAAAGCUUUAUGCACCAUUGGAUGAGCCCGCACUUGAUUAGUUUGUUGGUGGGGUAAUGGCCUACCAAGACUGUGAUCAAUAGCUGAUUUGAGAGGAUGAUCAGCCACAUUGGGACUGAGACACGGCCCAAACUCCUACGGGAGGCAGCAGUGGGGAAUCUUGCACAAUGGAGGAAACUCUGAUGCAGCGAUGCCGCGUGAGUGAAGAAGGCCUUUGGGUUGUAAAGCUCUUUCGUCGGGGAAGAAAAUGACUGUACCCGAAUAAGAAGGUCCGGCUAACUUCGUGCCAGCAGCCGCGGUAAUACGAAGGGACCUAGCGUAGUUCGGAAUUACUGGGCUUAAAGAGUUCGUAGGUGGUUGAAAAAGUUGGUGGUGAAAUCCCAGAGCUUAACUCUGGAACUGCCAUCAAAACUUUUCAGCUAGAGUAUGAUAGAGGAAAGCAGAAUUUCUAGUGUAGAGGUGAAAUUCGUAGAUAUUAGAAAGAAUACCAAUUGCGAAGGCAGCUUUCUGGAUCAUUACUGACACUGAGGAACGAAAGCAUGGGUAGCGAAGAGGAUUAGAUACCCUCGUAGUCCAUGCCGUAAACGAUGUGUGUUAGACGUUGGAAAUUUAUUUUCAGUGUCGCAGCGAAAGCGAUAAACACACCGCCUGGGGAGUACGACCGCAAGGUUAAAACUCAAAUGAAUUGACGGGGACCCGCACAAGUAGUGGAGCAUGUGGUUUAAUUCGAAGAUACGCGCAGAACCUUACCAACACUUGACAUGUUCGUCGCGACUCUAAGAGAUUAG
This 904-nucleotide ribosomal RNA is filed under the name marine metagenome. Its description in RNAcentral is "bacterial SSU rRNA". It matches the Rfam family "Bacterial small subunit ribosomal RNA", at positions 60 to 1010 of the family's 1533-position model. The record is from RNAcentral.